GACGGAGGCCCCGAGCGUUGUUCGGAAUUAUUGGGCUUAAAGCGCGUGUAGGCGGAGCCGUAAGUACUUUGUGAAAUCCCCGGACUCAAUCCGGGAAUUGCUUGGUAUACUGCGGUUCUCGAGGCAGGUAGGGGUCACUGGAACCUUAGGUGGAGCGGUGAAAUGCGUAGAUAUCUAAGGGAACGCCUGUGGCGAAAGCGGGUGACUGGGCCUGUCCUGACGCUGAGACGCGAAAGCGUAGGGAGCAAACGGG
This 253-nucleotide unclassified non-coding RNA is filed under the name uncultured Phycisphaerae bacterium. Its description in RNAcentral is "contains 16S-23S intergenic spacer region". It matches the Rfam family "Bacterial small subunit ribosomal RNA", at positions 524 to 776 of the family's 1533-position model. Lineage: Bacteria; Pseudomonadati; Planctomycetota; Phycisphaerae. The record is from RNAcentral.